This is a long non-coding RNA of Mauremys reevesii (Reeves's turtle), 285 nucleotides long. RefSeq lists it as uncharacterized. The record is from RefSeq and is a predicted model, not a curated record. NCBI's taxonomy places the organism in Eukaryota, Metazoa, Chordata, Testudines, Geoemydidae. The transcript has 3 exons.
AGAUCUGGGCCCUUUUCUGCCAGGCGCUGAAGAGACCUGAGGCUACAAAAUAACGUCCACGAUUGUCAGAUUAUCCCAUCCUCCCAGGGGGAAGGAAAUGGCUGCAAUGGAGCUGGCUCAGCUACUUAGGUUGGUUAAAGUUCAUCAUGGAGGAGCCUUGGUUCACUUAGGCCUAGAGCAGGGGGGCUUCAUCGACACUCGUGGUCUUCCACCCCCUCCCCCCCAAGUUAUCUAGAGUUAUGCCUAGUGACACCAUCAUGUGUGUGUGUGUGUGAAUGUGUGUGU